RNAcentral lists this ribosomal RNA (321 nucleotides) under Foraminifera environmental sample. Its description in RNAcentral is "SSU rRNA". It matches the Rfam family "Eukaryotic small subunit ribosomal RNA", at positions 1160 to 1422 of the family's 1831-position model. Lineage: Eukaryota; Foraminifera. The record is from RNAcentral.
AAGGGCACCACAAGAACGCGUGGAGCAUGUGGCUUAAUUUGACUCAACGCGGGAAAUCUUACCGGGUCCGGACACACUGAGGAUUGACAGGCAAUAUUAAUACGUGUUUCGGCUCGUAUUAUGUUAAAUAUGCUAGUCCUUUCAUGAUUAUGUGAUAGGUGGUGCAUGGCCGUUCUUAGUUCGUGGAGUGAUCUGUCUGCUUAAUUGCGUUUCACUAAGAAUCUAUCAAUACGUGCGUUGCGGCACUUUGACCCCUCUCUGAGCGCGCGUCUUAGUUGCUUAGCUCGCACAAUUAGGUUCUGAAAGCAACGAACGUGACCG